RNAcentral lists this ribosomal RNA (253 nucleotides) under uncultured bacterium. RNAcentral's name for it is "partial 16S ribosomal RNA". It matches the Rfam family "Bacterial small subunit ribosomal RNA", at positions 524 to 776 of the family's 1533-position model. The record is from RNAcentral.
UACGUAGGGUGCGAGCGUUAAUCGGAAUUACUGGGCGUAAAGCGUGCGCAGGCGGUGAUGUAAGACAGUUGUGAAAUCCCCGGGCUCAACCUGGGAACUGCAUCUGUGACUGCAUUGCUGGAGUGCGACAGAGGGGGAUGGAAUUCCGCGUGUAGCAGUGAAAUGCGUAGAUAUGCGGAGGAACACCGAUGGCGAAGGCAAUCCCCUGGGCCUGCACUGACGCUCAUGCACGAAAGCGUGGGGAGCAAACAGG